GAUGAACGCUGGCGGCGUGCCUAAUACAUGCAAGUCGAACGAGGUGCUUUUGUAGCAAUACGAGAGUAUCCUAGUGGCGAACGGGUGAGUAACGCGUGGAUGACCUGCCCCAAAGUGUGGGAUAACAGUCCGAAAGGAUUGCUAAUACCUCAUGUGGUUAUCGGUUUUAGAAAGCGAUAACUAAAGCAGCAAUGCGCUUUGGGAGGGAUCUGCGUCCCAUCAGCUAGUUGGUGAGGUAACGGCUCACCAAGGCGACGACGGGUAGGGGACCUGAGAGGGUGGCCCCCCACAAUGGAACUGAAACACGGUCCAUACACCUACGGGUGGCAGCAGUAGGGAAUAUUGCUCAAUGGGCGAAAGCCUGAAGCAGCAACGCCGCGUGUGCGAUGAAGGCCUC
This 397-nucleotide ribosomal RNA is filed under the name uncultured bacterium. RNAcentral's name for it is "bacterial SSU rRNA". It matches the Rfam family "Bacterial small subunit ribosomal RNA", at positions 28 to 418 of the family's 1533-position model. The record is from RNAcentral.